CCCUACAUCAUUUUUGUUGUUGGUGUGGAGGAGGGGGACCCUAUUUCGUUACAAGGUUUAUUGAUUGCAUGCUUCCUUGUCCUGGAAGACCUCCUCAGUUUCGUUGAGCCGACAAACCUUAUGAGGGUCUGAAGAACAACCAUGUAGUAAGAAAGUUGGAGAAGCGUCAACAGAUUUGCACCCUUGACCAACAUAUUGAAGAGCAAUUUGGUGGUGGUUGUUUGUUGGCUUGUAUUAUAGCAUGGGUUCGUCCGAGUGCUUAACGGUGUUUAUCAUGUUUGCAUCUCAUGCCUUAACUGCCUCAGUUCUCUCGGGCAGCUAUCAGAUUGUUUGAAAAUAAUUGUCCACUUUUAAUUUGUUGAAGACUCACCUUGUUAUAUGUUCAUUGCCUUACAUGGCACAUAAACUAUUUCCAUUUUGAAGUUGAACUAAUUUGUACACCUUCAUAUAUAAACAUAGUUGCUCUUUAUGGACGUAUAACAAUUUACUUGUUUGAAA
This is a non-coding RNA of Prunus mume (Japanese apricot), 498 nucleotides long. The record is from RefSeq and is a predicted model, not a curated record. Lineage: Eukaryota; Viridiplantae; Streptophyta; Magnoliopsida; Rosales; Rosaceae.